Aplysia californica (California sea hare) is the source of this 290-nucleotide long non-coding RNA. RefSeq lists it as uncharacterized. The transcript is spliced from 2 exons. NCBI's taxonomy places the organism in Eukaryota, Metazoa, Mollusca, Gastropoda, Aplysiida, Aplysiidae. The record is from RefSeq and is a predicted model, not a curated record.
CCCCAUUCGAGCGGUUUUCUAGAUUCUUACAUCAGCAGCCUCCCCCUCCUAAUCCUCACCGAGGUUCGAACAUUUACCAACGGGUUAUACGCGCAGACAGUCGGCCAUUGUCCAAUGUGUAGACCUAUAAUCAGCCUGAUGAGCAGAUGUGAAGUGAACCUCCUGUUGUGGUGUUCCCUCGGACAAGAUAAUCCCUCUCUGUACAGAGUUACUGCCGGCUCGUUGACACACUCGUGGACAAGAUAACAUUACUGUUGUCAUCAACUGCUGGACAUUAAAAACAAUCACUG